Molecule: ribosomal RNA, 833 nt
Filed under: Gonatocerus sp. nr. tuberculifemur Clade Y
Lineage: Eukaryota; Metazoa; Arthropoda; Insecta; Hymenoptera; Mymaridae
Description: eukaryotic LSU rRNA
Rfam family: 5.8S ribosomal RNA (bases 1-90)
Source: RNAcentral
UGUGAACUGCAGGACACAUGAACAUCGACAUUUCGAACGCACAUUGCGGUCCACGGAUUAUAUUCCCGGACCACGCCUGACUGAGGGUCGUUUAUCAAUACAAACCAGACUGUUCGUUUCGUACGAACGAUGCAUUGGUCGUUCGUUGUGCGAAUUUGUUAUUUUUCUCUGACAUAUAGACAAUGUUAAGGAAAAUACUUUCGUUACGGCGUCGCCCGAAAUGAUUGAAGAAAUAAAUUUAAAGUCGUAUUCGAGAGCCAAUAUACGAUAGCAGAUUCAUGAAAUAACCGCGCAUAAUGAUUGCUUGUGUCGUGCCAUCUUGAACGCAUCUAGCACGUGCACGAAAAUUUUUUGCGUCAAGGAACUCUUUUUGCGUUUCUUACCAUGUUACAUGACUGAAUCGAUGCUGGUAUGAUAGGAUCUUGAUCGACGAGUCCAUGAGCUUGUGAAUGAAUAUUUAUUUAGAAUAAAGCGGGACCGUUGAAUCGGAUCGAUCAUAAUGAAAAAUCGGAUCGAUAGUCGUAACUGGUGUAGAAUAAGCAUGGAACGCACUUAAAUAUUCACGAAUGUGGAAUAUUCACUCACGAUCACGGACGUUUUUGAACGCUUUCUAUUCGUCUUUCGUGUAAAUUCCUGGUUAUUAAUAGAUGAUUUUGUGAUAGUUUGUGCCGACGAAUCUCGACGUAUUUAUUUUCUUCUUCUUCUCAUCGACAGUGCACAUUAUAAACUGUUUUUAUAAUUUGUAUAGUUUCUCAAAACUAUCAAAAUAAGAGAAAAUAUUAUUAAUUUUGACGACCUCAGAGCAGGCGAGACUACCCCCUAAAUUUAAGCAU